AGAGUUUGAUCCUGGCUCAGAUUGAACGCUGGCGGCAUACCUUACACAUGCAAGUCGAACGGCAGCACGGGGGCAACCCUGGUGGCGAGUGGCGAACGGGUGAGUAAUACAUCGGAACGUGUCCUGUAGUGGGGGAUAGCCCGGCGAAAGCCGGAUUAAUACCGCAUACGCUCUACGGAGGAAAGGGGGGGAUCUUAGGACCUCCCGCUACAGGGGCGGCCGAUGGCAGAUUAGCUAGUUGGUGGGGUAAAGGCCUACCAAGGCGACGAUCUGUAGCUGGUCUGAGAGGACGACCAGCCACACUGGGACUGAGACACGGCCCAGACUCCUACGGGAGGCAGCAGUGGGGAAUUUUGGACAAUGGGGGCAACCCUGAUCCAGCAAUGCCGCGUGUGUGAAGAAGGCCUUCGGGUUGUAAAGCACUUUUGUCCGGAAAGAAAACGCCGUGGUUAAUACCCGUGGCGGAUGACGGACCGAAGAAUAAG
This 485-nucleotide ribosomal RNA is filed under the name uncultured organism. RNAcentral describes it as "bacterial SSU rRNA". It matches the Rfam family "Bacterial small subunit ribosomal RNA", at positions 8 to 490 of the family's 1533-position model. The record is from RNAcentral.